UUUUUUUUUUUUUUGUCAACUGUUAGCCACAUACAUAUAAGAAUUGUCACGUAUAAUUUUUCAAGGCAACUAAAAAUUAUUCUUCGAAUCUCGCCCAUCAUUAUUCAUUUGCAUAACAAAAAAAGAAAGAAAAAAUGAAUAUUCAUUUCAGGUGGAUAAAAAAUCUCAGUCAAUCAUAGUCAAAACACUCAAAAGUUUAUUACUCUCAGCUUAUCUGUUGCUUCCCUCCACAUCGUUGAAGCUUUUGUAUGAAUUAUGCCAGCUUACGUACGUAGUCGCCCAACGUACAUAUAAACAAACGCGUAGUUUAAAUUUAUUAUAUCAUUUAGCUGUACAAGUUUGUUUUAUAUAAUAAAUUUAAAAUUUAAUUAAUAAGGUUCUGUUUGACCAAAAACAAAAGUCAAUAAGGUUCUUAAACCAAUCGACUAGCAUUUUUAUUUAGACAAGUAAUAAAGCCGAUUUUACCAAAAAAAAAAAAAGUAAUAAAGCCGAAGCUGAUAAAAAAAGAAAGUAAAUAUGUCGAAAUAUUCGUUUUGAUUUUAGUGAAUGGACCGACAUGUUUUUAAAAUAUGGAACGGACAUGUCAACCGCAUAUGUAAGAACUGUCAUGCAUAUUCUUUGCAUAAUAAUAAAACAAAAACCAGAACAUUCAUUUCCAGGUUGAUAAAUCUAAGUCAGUCCAUAUGCCAAAAAACAAUAAAAUCUCAGUCAAUCAUAGUCAAAACACUCAUAGGGCCUACAAAUGUUUUUAUAGAAAAAAACGACACAUCAUCAAUGGCUAUGAAAACUAUCCAAAUUUUCUAUAAGAUUUACUGACGAAUUUGCUUGUUGGACACAAUCCGACAAGGUUACUGUUCAUGAAGAUAUACAAAGCCAUAAUCUAACACACGCCCAUUUUAUUAUGACAAUAUCUACACAGAAACAGGGGAAAUUGCUUAAUACAGAACCUAAAUAAACAUAAACAUUACAUAUAUAAUUUGGACGAAUCUACAUACUACUAGCUUUGGAGUUUCGGAUCAAACAUUAAUUCCCGUAGCUAGUGUCUACACUCCUUUGGAAAUCCUUGAGGAAACCUUUUGGUGUCUGUACAAUAGUUAUAGACCAUGUACUUCCUCUGCACCACUCUCAUCUUAUCUGCUGCUGUUAGAUCAAGCCUUUGAGAGAACCAUCUAGGUGAACCGGCAGGACAAGAUGAUCUUCCGCCCGAGGAAACACAUGCAUCCGCUCUAAAGUUCCUGUAAGAAGCGGUGAAUGGUGCCUUGGACCAGUCAGUCUUAACAAGACCUCCCCUUGUAGCCCACUGGUCCGCGUUCCAUAGGCUCGAGUAUAGCCUCAUCGGCUGCAAUUUUGGAUACAGAAUACCCAUAUGUUGUAGAUUCUUGAAUUCUCUUACCGGAAUAUCAUCAACCAUGAAACUGCAUCAAAACAUAUAAAUGAUAAAUUAGUUAUUAAUAAACUCAAAAGUUGACGUUCAAUGUGUUAUCAAAGAUGUGUUUUGGACCUGUAAAAAUCAUGUCUGCCCAAAGCUGGAUCACUUAUAGUUAGAAGUUAGAACAAAAAAAAAAAAUUAACUUAUGUUUCUUCGUCGUGUAUAUCUUUUUAUAUACUUACACGAUGUGAUGAGGGUUCCAUAAAACAGAGUAAGUGUGGAAAUCAGCGGUUGGAUCGAACCAAAGAUGGAAUUGUUGUUCUCUAUCACCUUUGCCUUGAGUAUACACAUUCGUAUGCAUGGUAUACGGAUCACCAGUUAGAUUACCAAGAAACUCGAAAUCGAUUUCGUCCCACGUAUCACCUUUCGACUUCAACUGCAUGGAAAAUCAAAACAAUCACAAACUGUUCUAAUAUUCAAAAGUAUAAAAGACCUAACAAAAUUUUGACAUGGUAAGUUGGUAACAUCGUAUAGGACCGUCUCAAAUGAUUUAGAUUAUAAAAGACCUAAUAAAAAUUUGACAUGGUAAGUUGGUAACAUCGUAUAGGACCGUCUCAAAUGAUUUAGAUUAAUCUCUGUUGAUAAUUUUUCUUAAAGAAAUAAGAGCCUCAAUUUAUAUAAAUAUUCAUAAAUUUAUCCUAUAAGAAAUAAAAUUUUAAAUUGGAGCUUUCCACACGUGCUAAAAACGGCCAUGUUAUAUAUGUUAUGAUGUUAAGUAACACUAACGUAGUAGGCGGUGACAGUUCCGGCGGAGUUCCCGGGGACGAGUUUGAGCUGCAUAUCGAUUUUCCCAAAUAAAUACUCUUUCUUGGUUUGAAAACCAGAGCCGGAGGCUCUGUCGAGGGAAAGAGUGAGAAGCUCUCCGUUGUUAAGGACCUUUCCACGACCAUCACCCCAAGUGAUAUCGAAUUCUGUGUCGAAAGUUCCGCAGAAAACCGGAGAGAAGAGGGUCCUGGUCGAGACGGUGAGUGUGAAGAGUAGGGAUAAGAUCAAAGUGGACCGGUCCAUGUUUAUGUGUCAAUAAGAUGGAGAAUUGAAAUCGUUCAUUGGGACCUUAUGUGUUGGGGGGGUUUUAUAUAAGGGAGGCAAGUCUUAGUCUUUUUGGAGUAUAGUUCGCCGUUUGUGACUCUUGUGUAGUUUUAGCUGUGAACAGCUGGUUCUUGUUUUGAAGUAAAGCAAAGCAUGUGCUUAAUUUUGCCUCAUGCUACGUGUGCUUGUUCUUUGUUUUGGUUUAAGUCUGCCUGAUCCGGUUCGGUUAAUGCCCAGUUUAGUUUAGGAUUUGUUAAAUUGGUUCUGCAUACGAGUGGAUAAUAUAUGUAUGUCACCUUGGCUAGGAUAUCUCGGUUUUGGGGCUAAUUCUGUUUGAAACAUUUAUAAUCCAACUAAAAUCAAAUUUGGUACGGUAGUUCCACCAAAUUAUAGCUGGUUAACAAAAUAACUCAAGAACUAGGAUUUAACCCGCGGUAUCCCGCGGGCGUAGAUUUUGUGCGGUUUUCUUAUUAGGUUUAUCGAUUAUAUACUUAAAACCAAAAUCGGUUUAAUUUUGUUUUGUACGGGAUUAAAGUAAUGACACCAAUCAAAUUACAUGCAAAUUCCAGUUUGAUUUUCGAUUAAAAAAGUUCUUGCUCAAUUAUAAAAACUAGAAAAAGGUUAUUGCUCCAUUGGGUUUGGUUUUGAGUUUUGACUGUCCAACCCUAGUUCUAAAUUAAACAGAAGCGGCCAUUUUUGGACGGACUCGGAGAAUAUAACGGAACGAACUACGAGAGACUUAAAAAAUACAAAAACGCAUAUUGUAACAAAGAGAAUAUUAUAACUUUAAGGGGAACUAUAUAGUACACUACAACCAAAUCAAUAAAAUUCACGUGAUCUACAAUAAAAUGAAUAGAAUUUUAUAACCACAGAGAAAAAGUAAAAUAUGUUCAUCUCUCAACGAUUUACUCUCUAUGCAGCUAAGCACUCUUUAGGAAGACCUUGAGGGAACCUCUUUGCAUCCGUACAAUAAUUAUAGAUCAUGUAGUUCCUCUGCACCCAUCUCAUCCUUUGUUGAGCCGUUGAGUCAAGCUCUUGUGACAACCACGAGCCAGUGGUCCCCUGUUUGGAGGCAUUAGGACAAGAAGACUUGCCGUUUGACCAAACACAAGCUUCUUGUUUAAAGCCACGGUAGGAAGCAGUGAAAGGAGCUUUAGACCAAUCGGUUUUGACCAAACCACCUCUCGUUGCCCAAUCAUCAGCGUUCCAAAGACUAGAGUACAUUCUCAUUGGUUUGUUCUUGGGAAACAGAGUGCCUAGAGACUCCAUGUUCUUGAAUUCUCUAAUCGGAGUUCCAUCGACGGUGAAGAUGAUUCUUUGUGGGUUCCAUAGAAUGGUGUAAGUGUGGAAAUCAGCUGUUGGGUCAAACCAGAGUUUGAAUUGUUGUUCUUUGUCUCCUUUGCCUUGUGUGUAGACAUUUGUGUGAAGUGUGUAAGGAUCUCCACUUGAAUUACCUAAAAACUCGAAGUCAAUCUCGUCCCAUGUUGUUCCAGGUGAUUUCAACUGUUCAUAUACAAAAAAACCAUUUCAGAUACAAGAACUUAAGAAUGUACAAAAACCAAAAACAGAGAUUGUUUAGGUGAACUUACGUAAAGUGUUGUGACUGUUCCUGCGGAGUUUCCAGGGACGAGUUUCAUUUGCAUGGCGAUUUUACCGAACAAGUAUUCGUUUUUGGACUGGAAUCCAGAACCAGAGGAUUUGUCUAGAGAUAAAGUGAGAAGCUCUCCAUUGUUCUUGAUCUGUCCACGACCAUCUCCCCAAGUAAUCUCAACAUCUCUUUGGAAAUUAGCUGAAACAGAGGAGAUGAUGAGAGAAAUAAACAGAGGAAGUAAGUAAGUGAUUGACAUUUUUUAGAGAUUGUUUUUGAGUUUGUGGAUUUUCUUGUAUUGAGUUAUUGGUUUGUUGUGGUUUUUGAGGGUUUAUGGAAGAAUGUAUAUAUAGUAGUGAAGAUUUUGAGAGGCGGUUCGUGUAGAGGAAGGUUCGUUACUUGGUUAGGUGAAAGAAGAAGCCGCGUAUUUGAGGCAACAGCUGGUGAUUGGGCCAUCUUGUAGUAAAAGCCUGUGUUUUAUUUAUUGGCUUUGGAAAUCACGCGGUUUUUGUUUAGUGGUGUUUCUUUUUUUGAAUAGUAAAAUUAAUUAAUAUUGUUACUUUUGGCUCAAAUUAAUUUGGAUUUUGGGAGUUUUUGCUCAGAAAAAGUUGGAUUUGAGAGUUGGAUACUUUACCACCGGCUUGGACCGACCUUGACAGAGGUGGAGUUUUACUCUAAUAGAACCAAAUGAUUCCGUUAUUAACCAAAAAAGAGGGGAAAAGUGUUGAUUUUAAAAAGUUAUAUUAAAAUAAGAUAAAUUUAAGUUUUUUUAAGUAUAAAAGUAUAUGUUAUUUCUACUACUUUCUGACAAUUUUUUAAGUGGUUAUCCAAUUUUGUAAUUCUUUUGUUAUUACUCUUGAGUGUUAUUAUUCACUAGGUAGUAAUUUAUAUGAAAUUGAACAUUAGUUGUUGCACAAAAAUAAAAAGAAUUCGUUAAUUUGAGUACCUUUUUUUGUGGGCACAUAUUUGAGUUUUUUUUUUUGUUUGAUUGACACUUGACAAAUUUAGACUGGUUAAGGUCCUAAGGAAAUAGGAUAAGGAUCAACAUUGUAUUUUAUUAUGAAAAAGCUUUGAUGAAAACAAAAUUUAAAACGGGGAUAAGAAGGAAGAGAUGCCACGUUAAAGAGUGGAUAUGGUAGUAGUUGGUAAAAUGAUGAAAUUGACUGACUCAAAUGUUUAAUUGUCGUAAUGGAGACAGCUAAUACAUUCAACUUGGUUACGGUCGUGGUCAGGAAGCUUCUUAUUCCAAGUGGCUAGAUCCUGUGAGCAGUCCGAUCUCUCACGCAAAGUCUAGAAUUCAGCAUUUGAUAGAAUAAAGAAAAAAAUUAAAUUCUCUUAAAUGUUUUUUGUAGAUAUAUUCUGUAUGUAUGAUCUUAAUAUAUUUGUUAAUUAUGGGGGUUAUAAUUCUGUAUCGUUUAAAUAAUUGACAUUUACAGAUAUAAUUUGGAAAUAAUUUCAUGGUCGCGGUGAAAAUUCCAACUUUAUAUGAGGGACGCAUUUCUUACUUUAGAUAAUUUCUUAAGUUUCGGGUAAGAAAAUGAUCAACAGAAGAUAUUAAGGACUAAAAGUGAAACAAUACAUAUCGUUAUGGGCCUAUUUAAAGCCCACGAAACUUCCGUCCGCUUAGGUUUCGAAAACAAAAACUAGGCUUGUCUAGUUGACUUGCUCUCAAAGAUUAGUCUUGAUUCUCUUUUAGUCAUAGAGUUAUAGGUAUGUCUGUAUUGCGAAUGUUAAGAUCUCGCAGUUUGUAUGUUAGAUUAUGGUGUUUCAUAGCGAAACCUAUGUUAGAUUUAUCAUUAUAUUUUUGUUUCUAACAUCAUUUGCAAUACAUAUUUAACACAAUUCAACUAAUGUUAAAAUAAUUUGCAUAAUACAAAUGGUCAAAAAGGAUAAAGAAUAAUUAAUUUUACAUUAAAACAUCAUUUAAAUUGAAACAAAUUUUUUUCUCUUAAAACAUCUAAUAUAACAAAUAUGAGAUAUUAAAACUGUCGUUGAAGUGAAUCAAUGAUAAAUCAGUAGAUAAACUUCCGUCAAUUGUAACAUAUAUUUUUCACAAACAUUUCUAAUCUUGAGGCGGUAAUUAACAUUUGUUGAUUUUUUUGGGCGUAAAUUAACAAAUAUAGUUCAUAUAGAUAACAAAAUGUUUUAUUGGCAAUUGAUAAAUGUUUACGAUCAGUGGACAGGAGUCGAUUAACCUAGUCCAUAUCCUCAAAUAGAUCACGUAUGACUAGUACAAUUACACAAUUCUUGAAAACUACUACUAAAAUGUUUCAUAUUUUGAGCUAGAAAUGAAAAAGAGUAAUAAAUAUACAGUUUUUCGUAGUUUGUCUUUUGUUUACAAUUCCGAAACUUGAUUCAAAAUAUCCACAUCUCCUCUUUUUUUUUUUUUUGGCUCAACAUCAACUCAUUAUAUUUUCCAAUUCAAAUUACAAAUCGAUAGUCCUCAUACAAUGACCUCGACAGAAUUGGACCAAAUGCAAUGAAUGAGCCUAGUAGACCCUGGAACACUAAGUUGGAUCCAACGUUACCUGGCAUACAAUUCAUUGUAUUUUUUCAACCAAUGAGAUAGAAUCCACCCCACUACUCGGAGUGAAAUCAUCUCUUAAACCACUAAAAAAAGAUCCUAAUGACAUGAAAACAACUACUAACCCGGUUACCCGGAGAAGAUCAAAACCUAAACUGACUAACCAAGGAAUUCCAAACUAUUAGUCCCUCAUGAUUGGAGUGUAGCACUUGUCCCAAUAGCACUUACACACGAAGGCGCAUCAUCAGAAAAGUUUGGUUUCCCCGUCUUUCGUUGUUCCGGCCUUAAACCUAAAAACGGACAACAUGUCCGACUGACCCGGUCAAGAGACCCAAGAUAAGCUCAGCAGGACCAGCAACUUCUCUGAGAUUACCUAGUAAUACCAGAUACUAAUCGCCUAAUAAUAGGAGUGUAGAGCACUGAUUAGUAUUCUUCACCUCAUGGUGCAUUUCCAGAUUAGCCACAUCGCCUCCGUCUUGUUAUCUCGCUCCUAGACCGGACUGAACCAGAAGGUUGUAGAAGCUCUCGAACAAGCGGCUUUGAGGUCUACCUCAAUCUCGGCACCGACAAGCGCAGAUCUCCUCAACCACCGGUAAGACUCCAAGACCUAACUCGACUGCUUUGCUCCGGCUAGCUAGGGUCUCCAUAUAAAGAACAGGGGAAAACAGGAGAGCCAGACGGCGCUGCGACGAGCCCCAACCAGACUCCCGGAGAAGACAGCGAGCCGAGAUCUCGCUUCAUAGCAUUCACCGGAGAGAAGCUGCCGAGUUAUCUACUUACCUACAAUAAAAGAGAAAAAUAAAAGACAGAGGAAGAGGAACCCUCUCACACCGCCGGCAGAGCGCCUCGGGCGGCGGAGAGGAGACGGCGACAAGAUUUGGGGGGGCGGCGGCUAGAUCUAGGGUUUGACGAGAGAGCUCUUUUUAGGGAAUUUAAUUGUCGCAUUCGUUUUAUACACAUCUCCUCUUUGUUUUCGGAUGUAUAUAUAUAACAUCAUCCACGAUUUUCAAUAUAUUUUAAUUGGAGUAAUACAAUUCUAGUAUUCAUAUUUUUGGUUAUUUUAGUUUAUUUAUCUUUCACAUUAAUUUAGCAUGUUUUGGA
Molecule: long non-coding RNA, 7671 nt
Filed under: Arabidopsis lyrata
Lineage: Eukaryota; Viridiplantae; Streptophyta; Magnoliopsida; Brassicales; Brassicaceae
Description: long non-coding RNA (ALYR_LNC000655)
Source: RNAcentral